Molecule: ribosomal RNA, 513 nt
Filed under: uncultured bacterium
Lineage: Bacteria
Description: partial 16S ribosomal RNA
Rfam family: Bacterial small subunit ribosomal RNA
Source: RNAcentral
GACGAACGCUGGCGGCAUGCCUAAUACAUGCAAGUCGAGCGAACAGAUGAAGUGCUUGCACUUCUGACGUUAGCGGCGAACGGGUGAGUAACACGUAAGGAAUCUACCUAUAAGCGGGGGAUAACAUUCGGAAACGGGUGCUAAUACCGCAUAAUAUCUUCUUCCGCAUGGACGAAGAUUGAAAGACGGCUCUGCUGUCACUUAUAGAUGACCUUGCGGUGCAUUAGUUAGUUGGUGGGGUAAUGGCCUACCAAGGCGAUGAUGCAUAGCCGACCUGAGAGGGGGAUCGGACACAUUGGGACUGAGACACGGCCCAAACUCCGACGGGGGGCAGCAGUAGGGAAUCGUCGGCAAUGGGCGAAAGCCUGACGGAGCAAUGCCGCGUGAGUGAAGAAGGCCUUCGGGUCGUAAAACUCUGUUAUAAGAGAAGAACAAAUUGUAGAGUAACUGCUACAGUCUUGACGGUAUCUUAUCAGAAAGCCACGGCUAACUACGUGCCAGCAGCCGCCGUAA